Molecule: RNA transcript, 1979 nt
Organism: Panicum virgatum (switchgrass)
Lineage: Eukaryota; Viridiplantae; Streptophyta; Magnoliopsida; Poales; Poaceae
Gene name: F-box protein At5g07610-like
Exons: 3
Source: RefSeq, a predicted model, not a curated record
UAAACACACAAAAGUCUCGAACAGACGAGAGUCCCCACAGGUCCCCGCGCAGCCACAGAGGGAGCUAGAGUUGGAGAUCCAUCAAAUCCCUUUGCCCGGUCUCGGUUCCCCUUCUUCCUCGGCACCGGCCAGCGCCGGCCCCCUCGUCCACGACCAUCUCCGGCGGCCGGUCGCUUUCGGCGGCAUGGAUUGCCCCAAGCGGCGCGCGCCGGCUGGCCUCCCCUACGACGACAUCGUGGAGAUCCUCGCGCGUCUCCCCGCCAGGUCCGUCUGCCGAUUCAAGUGCGUCGCCAAGGCCUGGCGCGACCUCAUCGACGACCCCCUUAACCGCAAGAAGCUCCCCCAAACCCUGGAAGGGUUCUUCUUCAUUGACAAGCCGAACGACGUCGCUAGCUUCGUGGAACAUUUCGAUUUCAUCAACCUUUUGCCAAGAUCCGUGCCUCUCGACAUCGACCCUCGCUUCCCUUUCCUGACGAAGCGGCCUGAGAUUGAGGAUCUCCUCUUCGCGGAUUCCUGCAAUGGGCUCGUCCUCUUCGAUCAUGUCCGGAAGUCAAACUUAUUUGACAUAUCGAGCUACAUAGUGUGCAACCCGGCCACAAAGCAGUGGGAGACUGUGCCCACCUGCAGCUGCUGUCCACCACUAAGAGAUUGUUUAGAUUGGUAUACCUUUUUGGCUUUUGAUCCGGCUGUCUCCUCUCAUUUUCACUUGAUUUGCUUCCAGGAAAAGGGUUUGGACGAGGAGGAUGAGGUGUUAGUCUUGUCAAUGUGUGCAUACUCAUCUGAGACUGGGACGUGGAGUCAGAGCCAGAUCAACUGGAAUGAACAAGGACAAUUGGAAGGAUGGCGCCAUCAGUGCCAUCUAUCUUAUCAGCAUGCCUUUUUCAAUGGCAUCCUACAUUUGUUACUUUUUGGUUUUGAUCAUGAUCAGAUAGUUGCUCUGGAUGUACAAGGAAAGACUGAAGGAUAAUCACAAUACCAGCUGCUGCAGAGGGGAGGCGUUGGAAAUCUAAAGGUUAUAUUGGUCAUUCCCAAGGGCGUCUGCAUUACAUCAAAUAUGAAGUUGAUGCUCAUGACUGUGAAAAUUGUUAUGAACUGUCUAUCUGGGUCCUUCAGGAUUAUGAUAGACAAGAAUGGCUGUUGAAGGACACUAUGAGCUUUCCGAAGCUGUCUGGAAAAAAUAGUUGCAUAGGAACCACGUUGGAAUUCUUCGUUGUAGCCAUUCAUCAAGAUUGCAAUGUGGUUUUCAUUCUUCAACCCCUGAACCGACUAAUAGCAUAUGACAUGGACCGCAAGGAAGUGAGUGUUAUUGCCACUUUUGAACAUGAAAAUUUUGGUGUGAGAAUUGCUCCUUAUGUCCCCUAUUUCUCGGAGUCACCGGCGCUUGGAAAUAAGCUCUGAAAAUGUCUGCUCUAACCAUGGAGCAACUAGCGACUUGAUUAGGUUGUAGUGAACUUAGGUGAAACGUUCUGUCUCUGCUUGGAUGUAUUCCUCUUAUGCCUUUUGGUCUAAUUAAUACUGCAAGCCUGCUUAUCCAUUAAUGUAAUGUGUUGAAGAAUUAGUUUUUUCACAGAUGAAAUUGGACUUAGGUUUUUCUUUUAUUUCUUUUUUCUUUGUUAAUGCGGAAGAUGGUGUACCACCUGUUCUUCAUUUCUCAGCUGCCGAAGUGACAGCCCCAUUGCCAAAAUGUGUGCAUCGUUUCUCACUCAUUUGGAGCCCUGCCCAAGGUGUUUUAAAUAGCGUUGAGUGUUUAUACUGUUUAAGAAUAGAAGGAAGCAGACUCCAAUUGCUUUCCAUUCUUUUGCUCACAUUCCGGAUGCCUUAGGUAAGCUUACAUGAUCAUUUUUUUGUUUUUUUUUGAAUUAACACAUGUUUAUAUUGUGCUUGUCGCUCUCUGUUUGGAUACAAUUUUGCAGAAGACAAUUUGCAUGGUUGUAUGAUACGAUUUGGUUUCUGAAGUUUAAAGAUGCUACUUUGCUUCA